This 483-nucleotide ribosomal RNA is filed under the name uncultured bacterium. Its description in RNAcentral is "partial 16S ribosomal RNA". It matches the Rfam family "Bacterial small subunit ribosomal RNA", at positions 28 to 523 of the family's 1533-position model. The record is from RNAcentral.
GACGAACGCUGGCGGCGUGCUUAACACAUGCAAGUCGAACGAUGAAGCCGGAGCUUGCUCCGGUGGAUUAGUGGCGAACGGGUGAGUAACACGUGAGCAAUCUGCCCUUGACUCUGGGAUAACUGCGGGAAACUGUAGCUAAUACCGGAUACGACACCUUGGGGCAUCCCAGGGUGUGGAAAGAAUUUCGGUCAAGGAUGAGCUCGCGGCCUAUCAGCUAGUUGGUGAGGUAAUGGCUCACCAAGGCGACGACGGGUAGCCGGCCUGGGAGGGUGACCGGCCACACUGGAACUGAGACACGGUCCAGACUCCUACGGGAGGCAGCAGUGGGGAAUAUUGCACAAUGGGCGCAAGCCUGAUGCAGCAACGCCGCGUGAGGGAUGAAGGCCUUCGGGUUGUAAACCUCUUUUAGCAGGGAAGAAGCGAAAGCGACGGUACCUGCAGAAAAAGCACCGGCUAACUACGUGCCAGCCGCCGCAGUAA